GGACUUAUAGCUCAGUUGGUUAGAGCGCUACAUUGACAUUGUAGAGGUCAGUGGUUCGAAUCCACUUAAGUCCA
RNAcentral lists this transfer RNA (74 nucleotides) under Candidatus Magasanikbacteria bacterium CG10_big_fil_rev_8_21_14_0_10_47_10. RNAcentral's name for it is "tRNA-Val". It matches the Rfam family "tRNA". Rfam says of the family: Transfer RNA (tRNA) molecules are approximately 80 nucleotides in length. Their secondary structure includes four short double-helical elements and three loops (D, anti-codon, and T loops). RNAcentral also lists the same sequence under 1 other name. Lineage: Bacteria; Candidatus Magasanikiibacteriota. The record is from RNAcentral.